RNAcentral lists this ribosomal RNA (624 nucleotides) under uncultured fungus. RNAcentral's name for it is "eukaryotic LSU rRNA". It matches the Rfam family "Eukaryotic large subunit ribosomal RNA", at positions 40 to 647 of the family's 3401-position model. Lineage: Eukaryota; Fungi. The record is from RNAcentral.
AUAUCAAUAAGCGGAGGAAAAGAAACUAACAAGGAUUCCCCUAGUAACUGCGAGUGAAGCGGGAAAAGCUCAAAUUUAAAAUCUGGCAGUCUCUGAUUGUCCGAGUUGUAAUUUAGAGAAGUGUUACCCGUGCUGGACCAUGUAUAAGUCUUCUAGAAUGGAGCAUCAUAGAGGGUGAGAAUCCCGUCUUUGACAUGGACUACCAGUGCAUUGUGGUAUGCUCUCAACGAGUCGAGUUGUUUGGGAAUGCAGCUCAAAAUGGGUGGUAAAUUCCAUCUAAAGCUAAAUAUGGACGAGAGACCGAUAGCGAACAAGUACCGUGAGGGAAAGAUGAAAAGAACUUUGGAAAGAGAGUUAAACAGUACGUGAAAUUGCUGAAAGGGAAACGCUUGAAGUUAGUCGCAUUGGCUUGAAAUCAACCUGGUUUUUACUUGGUGUACUUUCUUGUUAAUGGGUCAACAUCAGUUUUGACUAUUGGAUAAGAGUUGAAGGAAUGUGGCUCCUUUAGGAGUGUUAUAGCCUUUAGCUGUAUACAGUGGCUGAGACUGAGGCUCUCAGCACGCCUUUAUGGCCGGGUUUCGACCACGUACGUGCUUAGGAUGUUGGCAUAAUAGCUUUAAGCGA